This 920-nucleotide unclassified non-coding RNA is filed under the name Hevea brasiliensis (rubber tree). The record is from RNAcentral. Lineage: Eukaryota; Viridiplantae; Streptophyta; Magnoliopsida; Malpighiales; Euphorbiaceae.
GCAUUCCACGCUCAGCAGCACCUACCAAUCUCAUGCAAUGGUGCAAUCUUCCUGGGCCCAGUCUACCCUGCAAGGAUGUAGAGCCAACAGAGAUGUAAUAUUCACUUGCAAGUGGGAACUAAAACUACUGCAGAUCCUAAAUGUCAACAGACUAGCAGCCACCAACUCGAGUAGAUCAACUCUACCAUGGUCUACAAAUCAUAUCCCAUUUUAGAUGGAAGUUUCACAAAUAUAAGCAUCUAAACAGGUUCUAACCACAGUUGCCAAAAUUCUCUGCACCCGUAGCAAUUGUGUUUCCAGAUCACAAGAAUCCUUAAAACUAGCAUUCCAAAAUGAAAUCAACCAGGGGUAAAGAAUCAAACAAUAUUGCUAUUUGUAUUAUUACACUGCAAUUUUUGGAAGUGAAUUUUUUUUUGUAGCAUAAAAAAAUUAGCAUAGCAAAUUAUAAUUGAACCUAAUUUAUAACAUGUCUAGGAUACUAGAAAAAAAAGUUUGUGGCAGUUCUUAUUUCAAUCCAGUACCUGUUUUCAUUACAUAAUGAUCAUAAAGAAGCCUAUCCUUACCAUAACACAUUUCUAGGCAAGGAUGUCUUGCAUUCCUGUUUUCAUUCCAUGUACCAGAGCAAUCCAUGUUCUAGAUAAACUACGAUCUAACAAGCAUGAGUGAUACUUGUUGAAUGUGGAACUGGUAGAAAAAUUGCAUAGCAGGAGAACUCAAGAAUCCUGUCUAUACAAGUUAAUAGAAGUUUAAUGAAGCCUGCACUUCAGCUCACAAGCACAAGUUGACAGCCUCAGAAAUUGAAUUAAAGUUUGAUUCAGAGUUCAACAGAAUAUGGAAGCCAACUUCCAUUGAAGUUCAUUAAAUUACUUACAAAGGAAGGAACUGACUUUACCUGGGCAAUCUCAAAUCCACGUCCUUCU